AUGGAUGAUGAUGAUUUAAUAGUCAAGGGGCUUCCACAGCUCUCUGCCAUUUGUGUUACCAUUAGCAGAAGGUACAUGCUUGAAGAAGCUAUUAAGCGGAUCCAUGGUACAAUUCAUGCAUUCGAGCUCACUGAUGAUAAUGACGACACAGUAAUGGCAUCAGUGAAAAUUGAUCUCCAGCCCCACAGCCAAAGCAUGUUGCCAACCCAACAGCUGUUCUUUGGAGAAUCAACUUGGUUUGCCAACGAUGCUAUCGAAUCAACAUGUUCUGCUGCUUUGGCCUAUCUGGUAACCAUGGGCAUCAUCACAAUAGACAAUUCCAACUCGACAAGCCUCAAGAAAUGCCAAAGGGAGCUCAAAGCUGAGCAGUUCUGGUCAUCAGUGCUAUUUGUGCGGGCAGAAUCCUUUCAAAAACAGCUCGCCUCUUUGACCGCGACAAAGGAAGGGCCUCAUUCAGAAAGUGACGAUGAUAACACUCCAGCACCCAAAUGUGUAAACGAAUUAGAGGAUGGCCUGAACGACGCCACCAGCUCGCUUCCACCAACCGAAGAAGCAUCCGACAAUGAACCGGAUCACAGGCCCAACAAGAAAACAAAGUCUCAGUCAAAGACUAAAUGGACAGGUCAAAUGAUACAUAGACGGAGAUCACGCUGGAAUUUUGCCCUCUGUCUAUGCCUCAAGUAUCGAUGA
Molecule: ribosomal RNA, 690 nt
Filed under: Triticum aestivum (bread wheat)
Lineage: Eukaryota; Viridiplantae; Streptophyta; Magnoliopsida; Poales; Poaceae
Description: partial small subunit ribosomal RNA
Source: RNAcentral